This 253-nucleotide ribosomal RNA is filed under the name uncultured bacterium. RNAcentral describes it as "partial 16S ribosomal RNA". It matches the Rfam family "Bacterial small subunit ribosomal RNA", at positions 524 to 776 of the family's 1533-position model. The record is from RNAcentral.
UACGUAGGGUGCAAGCGUUAUCCGGAAUUAUUGGGCGUACAGAGCUCGUAGGCGGUUUGUCGCGUCUGCUGUGAAAACCGGAGGCUCAACCUCCGGCCUGCAGUGGGUACGGGCAAACUAGAGUGCGGUAGGGGAGAUUGGAAUUCCUGGUGUAGCGGUGAAAUGCGCAGAUAUCAGGAGGAACACCGAUGGCGAAGGCAGGUCUCUGGGCAUUAACUGACGCUGAGGAGCGAAAGCGUGGGGAGCGAACAGG